GAUGAACGCUGGCGGCGUGCCUAAUACAUGCAAGUCGAGCGAACGGACGAGAAGCUUGCUUCUCUGAUGUUAGCGGCUGACGGGUGAGUAACACGUGGAUAACCUACCUAUAAGACUGGGAUAACUUCGGGAAACCGGAGCUAAUACCGGAUAAUAUUUUGAACCGCAUGGUUCAAAAGUGAAAGACGGUCUUGCUGUCACUUAUAGAUGGAUCCGCGCUGCAUUAGCUAGUUGGUAAGGUAACGGCUUACCAAGGCAACGAUGCAUAGCCGACCUGAGAGGGUGAUCGGCCACACUGGAACUGAGACACGGUCCAGACUCCUACGGGAGGCAGCAGUAGGGAAUAUUCCGCAAUGGGCGCAAGCCUGACGGAGCAACGCCGCGUGAGUGAUGAAGGCCUUCGGAUCGUAAAACUCUGUUAUUAGGGAAGAACAUAUGUGUAAGUAACUGUGCACAUCUUGACGGUACCUAAUCAGAAAGCAACGGCUAACUACGUG
Molecule: ribosomal RNA, 497 nt
Filed under: uncultured bacterium
Lineage: Bacteria
Description: partial 16S ribosomal RNA
Rfam family: Bacterial small subunit ribosomal RNA
Source: RNAcentral